This 547-nucleotide ribosomal RNA is filed under the name Enterococcus durans. RNAcentral describes it as "bacterial SSU rRNA". It matches the Rfam family "Bacterial small subunit ribosomal RNA", at positions 71 to 605 of the family's 1533-position model. The record is from RNAcentral. Lineage: Bacteria; Bacillati; Bacillota; Bacilli; Lactobacillales; Enterococcaceae.
CUUGCUCCACCGGAAAAAGAAGAGUGGCGAACGGGUGAGUAACACGUGGGUAACCUGCCCAUCAGAAGGGGAUAACACUUGGAAACAGGUGCUAAUACCGUAUAACAAUCGAAACCGCAUGGUUUUGAUUUGAAAGGCGCUUUCGGGUGUCGCUGAUGGAUGGACCCGCGGUGCAUUAGCUAGUUGGUGAGGUAACGGCUCACCAAGGCCACGAUGCAUAGCCGACCUGAGAGGGUGAUCGGCCACAUUGGGACUGAGACACGGCCCAAACUCCUACGGGAGGCAGCAGUAGGGAAUCUUCGGCAAUGGACGAAAGUCUGACCGAGCAACGCCGCGUGAGUGAAGAAGGUUUUCGGAUCGUAAAACUCUGUUGUUAGAGAAGAACAAGGAUGAGAGUAACUGUUCAUCCCUUGACGGUAUCUAACCAGAAAGCCACGGCUAACUACGUGCCAGCAGCCGCGGUAAUACGUAGGUGGCAAGCGUUGUCCGGAUUUAUUGGGCGUAAAGCGAGCGCAGGCGGUUUCUUAAGUCUGAUGUGAAAGCCCCC